UCCAAAGAUAAACACUCCAUUAAAAUAUUAUGGAAACUCAGUGAAUGCGAUGACUAAGCUGGAGGAAGAUGUGGGGCAUUUGCCUGUAAUCAGUACUUGGAAAAUCAAAGCAGGAGGAGAAGGAGUUCAAGAACAGCCUCGGUUACAGGAGACCAUAACUCAAACAGAACAGAACAAACAAAAAUACAAUACAAAAGCCAAAUUGUAAGUGGGAGAUAAUCGUGAGAAAGGAAACAAAUUGUUCAAAUAACAACAAAAUGAAAUUGAAACUGAGCUGAAGUGUCAUAGAGAUGAUAAGAUUUUGUGGAAGGCAGCUGGAGCUCCUGUGAUCAAAUUACAUGCUAUUCAUCUUGAAAAGGCCAAUGUUUUGCAUUGGCAUAUGUACCUAAUGUACCAUAUGGGCCAUUUCAGAGACAUAUUUACAUACAUGUCAGUGCACAUACAAAGAGAUAUGCAUAUAAAUGUACAUAAAAGUCUCUCAUAUAUAGCAUAUAAUAGAUUCUAAAGACUCUAUGCCAACUAUCACAGUCUGAAUUAAAAAUGGUCUGUUAAUUAUAACUUUUAAUUAGUAUAUUAUAAGUUGUAUAAUGCUGAUGAUGAUUAAACAUAAAUUCCAAUGCCU
Long non-coding RNA from Mastomys coucha (southern multimammate mouse), 622 nucleotides. RefSeq lists it as uncharacterized. The transcript has 2 exons. The record is from RefSeq and is a predicted model, not a curated record. NCBI's taxonomy places the organism in Eukaryota, Metazoa, Chordata, Mammalia, Rodentia, Muridae.